AUUGAACGCUGGCGGCAUGCUUUACACAUGCAAGUCGAACGGUAACAGGCCGCAAGGUGCUGACGAGUGGCGAACGGGUGAGUAAUGCAUCGGAACGUGCCCAGUCGUGGGGGAUAACGCAGCGAAAGCUGUGCUAAUACCGCAUACGAUCUAUGGAUGAAAGCGGGGGACCGUAAGGCCUCGCGCGAUUGGAGCGGCCGAUGUCAGAUUAGCUAGUUGGUGGGGUAAAGGCCCACCAAGGCGACGAUCUGUAGCUGGUCUGAGAGGACGACCAGCCACACUGGGACUGAGACACGGCCCAGACUCUGACGGGAGGCAGCAGUGGGGAAUUUUGGACAAUGGGCGCAAGCCUGAUCCAGCAAUGCCGCGUGCAGGAAGAAGGCCUUCGGGUUGUAAACUGCUUUUGUUCGGAACGAAACGGUCUGGGUUAAUACCCUGGGCUAAUGACGGUACCGUAAGAAUAAGCACCGGCUAACUACGUGCCAGCAGCCGCCGUAA
RNAcentral lists this ribosomal RNA (498 nucleotides) under uncultured bacterium. RNAcentral describes it as "partial 16S ribosomal RNA". It matches the Rfam family "Bacterial small subunit ribosomal RNA", at positions 30 to 523 of the family's 1533-position model. The record is from RNAcentral.